GACGAACGCUGGCGGCGUGCUUAACACAUGCAAGUCGAGCGGUAAGGCCCUUUCGGGGGUACGACGAGCGGCGAACGGGUGAGUAACACGUGGGUGACCUGCCCUCAGCUCUGGGAUAAGCCUGGGAAACUGGGUCUAAUACUGGAUAUGACUCCACGGUGCAUGUCGUGGGGUGGAAAGCCUUGUGCGGCUGAGGAUGGGCCCGCGGCCUAUCAGCUUGUUGGUGGGGUGANGGCCUACCAAGGCGACGACGGGUAGCCGGCCUGAGAGGGCGACCGGCCACACUGGGACUGAGACACGGCCCAGACUCCUACGGGAGGCAGCAGUGGGGAAUCUUGCGCAAUGGGCGAAAGCCUGACGCAGCGACGCCGCGUGAGGGA
This 380-nucleotide ribosomal RNA is filed under the name uncultured bacterium. RNAcentral describes it as "bacterial SSU rRNA". It matches the Rfam family "Bacterial small subunit ribosomal RNA", at positions 28 to 408 of the family's 1533-position model. The record is from RNAcentral.